This 460-nucleotide ribosomal RNA is filed under the name uncultured bacterium. RNAcentral's name for it is "partial 16S ribosomal RNA". It matches the Rfam family "Bacterial small subunit ribosomal RNA", at positions 338 to 795 of the family's 1533-position model. The record is from RNAcentral.
CCUACGGGAGGCAGCAGUGAGGAAUAUUGGUCAAUGGGCGCGAGCCUGAACCAGCCAAGUAGCGUGAAGGAUGACUGCCCUACGGGUUGUAAACUUCUUUUAUAAAGGAAUAAAGUGAGGCACGUGUGCCUUUUUGUAUGUACUUUAUGAAUAAGGAUCGGCUAACUCCGUGCCAGCAGCCGCGGUAAUACGGAGGAUCCGAGCGUUAUCCGGAUUUAUUGGGUUUAAAGGGAGCGUAGAUGGGUUGUUAAGUCAGUUGUGAAAGUUUGCGGCUCAACCGUAAAAUUGCAAUUGAUACUGGCAGGCUUGAGUACAGGUGAGGUAGGCGGAAUUCGUGGUGUAGCGGUGAAAUGCUUAGAUAUCACGAAGAACUCCGAUUGCGAAGGCAGGUUACUGGGACGGUUCUGACACUAAGGCACGAAAGCGUAGGGAGCAAACGGGAUUAGAUACCCGAGUAGUC